AACAACUUGCAACAUCGCUAAGCAACACAUGGCAUGUGCAUUGUACAUUAAUUUUACUGUGGUUUCCAGUCUCUUUCAUUUACUCUAAUAUCUAUGGCUUUUGGUACCAUUUUUUUGCCCAACUACUCUUGUAAUCCUGCCGCCUCCUAUCAUGUAAAUUCUGAUUAGCUCCUUUUAUGCUGUUCCCUAUUCUGUCACAUGUGGGGCAUUAUUUCAUGUUAGAAACAUGUCAAACACUUUUCCAGUAAGCUCAAAACUGUUGCAGGUAAAUGUAGCAUUAUUGCUUUUGAUACCUUAAGAUUAAUUAGAAACAGCAAAGCUUUUCACUGGUACAGGUUUGUUGAAGCAACUACCACAACAAAAGCAAUUUGUUAAAUUAGACCAGCUGUGCUUUAAAAUGUUAACUUUUUGAGAAACAUUUAUAUAAUUAUUGACCAUCUCUUAUAUCUAGGCUGAGUCCUAAAUUUUGCCUAUCUAAAAUGAUGCAGUAUUUGAAACAAACACACUGCAGGUAGUGUGAUGAACAGCUACAUAUCUGACAGUGACAACUGACUUGAUUCGUAUGACAGCAACCAGUAUUAUGAUUGUUUAAUGAAGAAUGAUAAUUAAAAAUUUUUUUGAGAGUGAAACUACUAGCAUCUUCAAGUGUAACGAUGAGUAGUGAGCCCAACAAAUUAGGAACGCCAAUCAACCCCCAAGGAGAUAGCUGGUACAAUGCAGGUGUAUACUAAGAAACACCAAAUGCCUGAUGAACUAAUUUUGAAGAAAGGAACUAUUAUUUGCAUACAUGUACCUUUUGUGUGAUUGUUAUUUUCUCAGCCACUUACAUUGCCUUUUCUUAAAUUUUAACUGUUUUUUAGUUUAGAUUUAGUUUUAUUGUGUGUUUCUCUUUCAAUUAUUAUUUUGUUUAUUCAUCUUUGAUCAUCUUUCUGAUCAAUAUGAUGUUAUUCUAUGCAUAGAUUAGUCUCAUGCAUGGCCUCCAGAUGCGUGACAUAUUA
This is a long non-coding RNA of Amphimedon queenslandica, 998 nucleotides long. RefSeq lists it as uncharacterized. The record is from RefSeq and is a predicted model, not a curated record. NCBI's taxonomy places the organism in Eukaryota, Metazoa, Porifera, Demospongiae, Haplosclerida, Niphatidae. The transcript has 3 exons.